UCCGGUAUGGUGUAGUGGCUAACAUCGCUCGCUCUCAAAUUUCCUCCCUCAUCAAAGAGACGAGGGUUGUGAAGAUGGUUCCGAGCAGCCCAGGGUUCGAUUCCCUGUACCGGAG
Non-coding RNA from Purpureocillium takamizusanense, 115 nucleotides. The record is from the annotation of a RefSeq genome assembly. NCBI's taxonomy places the organism in Eukaryota, Fungi, Ascomycota, Sordariomycetes, Hypocreales, Ophiocordycipitaceae.